AUCUCCAUCAAUCUCAUAUCCAAAGAAAAAAAUAAAUUAAAAAUUUCCAAAACACAAGAAAGGAUUCUAACGCAGAAAUUAAAAAAAAAAUACAUAACUCAUAUAUAAAGAGGCUAAAAGAUCUUUACUCAGAAUGGUGCGGAACAGGGAAAAGGGUGAACUUCAUGUUGUGGUUGGUGCAAUAAUCACCAUCAUGCUCGCCCGACGCAAAGAAGUCGCAGUUCAUAUAACUCCAUGGAUCUUGGAACAAAUAUACAUUGUUCCUUCGCUUGGCCGAUUUAUCGUACUUGAAAACUGCACCAUGUCAAAAGAUGAUUCAUUAACGCCGAUUCAAUGAUUUACCAUAGAAAAUAAGAUCCUCCCACUACGAUGUUCCUUGGCGCUUCACUGUCCGAACCGGAGCUCGAACAGGGUGCUUCACUGUCCGUUCCUGAACUGUUUGGCGCUUCACUGUCAUUAUGGUUCGAAUCCCAACUCCAGCUCCAGCCCGACCUA
Molecule: long non-coding RNA, 495 nt
Organism: Brassica napus (rape)
Lineage: Eukaryota; Viridiplantae; Streptophyta; Magnoliopsida; Brassicales; Brassicaceae
Exons: 3
Source: RefSeq, a predicted model, not a curated record